RNAcentral lists this ribosomal RNA (638 nucleotides) under uncultured bacterium. Its description in RNAcentral is "bacterial SSU rRNA". It matches the Rfam family "Bacterial small subunit ribosomal RNA", at positions 182 to 818 of the family's 1533-position model. The record is from RNAcentral.
UGAGAUUGCAUGAUAGCAUCAUUAAAGAUUUAUCGGUGUACGAUGGGGAUGCGUUCCAUUAGGUAGUAGGCGGGGUAACGGCCCACCUAGCCAACGAUGGAUAGGGGUUCUGAGAGGAAGGUCCCCCACAUUGGAACUGAGACACGGUCCAAACUCCUACGGGAGGCAGCAGUGAGGAAUAUUGGUCAAUGGACGAGAGUCUGAACCAGCCAAGUAGCGUGAAGGAUGAAGGUCCUACGGAUUGUAAACUUCUUUUAUAAGGGAAUAAACCCUCCCACGUGUGGGAGCUUGUAUGUACCUUAUGAAUAAGCAUCGGCUAACUCCGUGCCAGCAGCCGCGGUAAUACGGAGGAUGCGAGCGUUAUCCGGAUUUAUUGGGUUUAAAGGGAGCGCAGACGGGUCGUUAAGUCAGCUGUGAAAGUUUGGGGCUCAACCUUAAAAUUGCAGUUGAUACUGGCGUCCUUGAGUGCGGUUGAGGUGUGCGGAAUUCGUGGUGUAGCGGUGAAAUGCUUAGAUAUCACGAAGAACUCCGAUUGCGAAGGCAGCACACUAAUCCGUAACUGACGUUCAUGCUCGAAAGUGUGGGUAUCAAACAGGAUUAGAUACCCUGGUAGUCCACACGGUAAACGAUGGAUACUC